AAGAGAAGAGCUUGUCAAGUUAGCUAAAGAUGACCUGCCUAAAACCAAUAUAAGGAAAGGAGUACACCAUUAAAGAUGACCUUUUUCCAUAAGAUAAAGGCAAGUCAUCCUUGGCUACCAAAUAAGCCUCUUCUCA
MicroRNA precursor from Nicotiana attenuata, 136 nucleotides. NCBI's taxonomy places the organism in Eukaryota, Viridiplantae, Streptophyta, Magnoliopsida, Solanales, Solanaceae. The record is from Rfam.